CAUGCAUGUCUCAGUACAAGCAUCCUUGUACCGUGAAACUGCGAAUGGCUCAUUACAACAGUUAUAGUUUAUUUGAUCGUGCGGAGCUACGUGGAUAACCGUAGGAAUUCUAGAGCUAAUACAUGCACCGUCGCCGAAGAUCUUUGGUUAGACUUCGGCGGGAUUUAUUAGAUCAAAAACCAAUCGCUUCUUUCGUUUUUUUCGAGUAGAGGCGUGGUGGGAUGAAUCAUAAUAACUUAAUCGAAUCGUAUGGCCAACAUUAGGCCGACGAUAAAUCAUUCAAAUUUCUGCCCUAUCAACUUUCGAUGGUAGGGUAGUGGCCUACCAUGGUGUUGACGGGUGACGGAGAAUUAGGGUUCGAUUCCGGAGAGGGAGCCUGAGAAACGGCUACCACAUCCAAGGAAGGCAGCAGGCGCGCAAAUUACCCAAUCCUGAUUCAGGGAGGUAGCGACAAGAAAUAACGAUAGUGGGCUCGUUCGAGUCCGCGCAUCGGAAUGAGGAUAAUUUACACCCCUUCUCGAGGAUCCAUUGGAGGGCAAGCCUGGUGCCAGCAGCCGCGGUAAUUCCAGCUCCAAUAGCGUAUACUAAAGUUGUUGCAGUUAAAAAGCUCGUGGUCGAAUGAAGGUUUCUUGUAUAGCGCGGACGUCUAGGUGUAACUUAGAUUAGUUUGCGCACAAGAACCUCCCUUGUGUGUCUCAGAGGAGCAAAUAUUUAUUUAUUUUGAUCCAUUUGCGACACACACAUUACUGUGAACAAAAUAGAGUGUUCAUGGCAGGUCAAUUUA
This 784-nucleotide ribosomal RNA is filed under the name uncultured Cryptophyta. RNAcentral's name for it is "bacterial SSU rRNA". It matches the Rfam family "Eukaryotic small subunit ribosomal RNA", at positions 50 to 792 of the family's 1831-position model. The record is from RNAcentral. Lineage: Eukaryota; Cryptophyceae.